Molecule: long non-coding RNA, 2863 nt
Organism: Brassica napus (rape)
Lineage: Eukaryota; Viridiplantae; Streptophyta; Magnoliopsida; Brassicales; Brassicaceae
Exons: 2
Source: RefSeq, a predicted model, not a curated record
ACUGCAGAUUCUUGAUUUCUUGGAAUUGUCUUUAACAGCUGUCGAUGCCAAGAUGGGAAGAUUUACAGAUAUUACGUAUGUCUUUUUCUCUGAAUUUUGUUAUGUUUAAGUCAGAAAUAGCUUGCUCCUUGGAUUUCGUCUCAGUCAGUGAGCUCAAUGCCAAGCUAUUGACAGAUACGGUGGACGAGAGGAUGGAAUUGGAUAUCUUGGUUUGUAGGAAUCUGAUCGAAGAUGCGUUAGAACGAAUCAAUGAUAUUGUUCCUUCCAGGGCUCCACCGUGUCCAUUUGUUCUGGAAGGCACACAAAAGUCUCAACUUUUGCUUAAAGCAAAAUGUUUGGUUUAUUGAACUGCAGAUUCUUGAUUCAAAUCCUAGUCUUUGAUAGGAAAAUCAAAUAGUGAAUUGGGCGUCCUACAACAUUCAUCUGCUUCUAUUUUUUUGGUUAAGUGUGUAAUGAGUUUAUGUUCCAAUAAGCUGAACAUUUCAAACUCCUCUUCAUGGAAUGGACAAUACUAUGGAUCCUGAACUCAUGUCUUUGCCGUUGGAAAGACGAGGAUAAAAUUUUCUCGAGGAUGGAUCACAAAGGCGAGAGAAAUAUACUCGACAUCCAUGUAGGUAUCUAGAUACCUACGGUGUCGACCUGAAAUGAAGGCAUUGUUCCUCGAUCACGUAGCUAUAAUUCUAACUUUCACGUAUCACGGUCAUCGCAUUAGCUCUUUGCGAUUUCUUUUUUUUUUUGUUAUUUAUAAACGUGGAAAAGAAAUAAAGAGCUGUUAUAAGUAAAGUCCUCUUAUGAAUAUCAAUUAAAUUUCAAUCACAUGAUUCCUUCGGUGUCGUCCUAAAAUGACUGCUCUAUAUCUAUAUAUCUAUCUAUAUAUAUAUCUAUACUAAUAAAGUAGCUUGGAAAGGCUCCUCAAGCCUCCACCUCAGCACACCAUGUUCCUUUUGCCGCCACGUGUCACCUUAACAAACCUUCACUAAACUAAUUUUUCCUUGGUUCAUUCACUCUACGAAAUAUCUCCAUUAACUGCUGCCAUCACUGCUUCUUUAAAACAAAAUCGAAAACGUUCUGAAUUCUCUUCCGAUUCAUGUAUCUCUCAAUUUAUAAAUCAUUACAAAACCACAGAAUAUCAAUUGCUCUUCAUUCACUAACCCAAAUAAAGCAAUUUUUUUCAUUCUCCAGGCAAAUCUAAACUUGUCUUUUCUCCACCUACGUUCAUGGACGGUAGCGGCGGCUGAUACGGAGAUGACGGAAGGUCUAGGCGGUGUUUUCUCCGUAGCUUCAUCCAUCCUUCGCUCCAGAUGUCGGGGCAAAUCUAAGCCUCUGAUUAUGCAUGUUGGUGGCAAGUGUGCUUACGGCAUGGUUUGGUAAAAUUUUCCGACAUAAGUUCAAAAUAGCCUUCCACAUUGAUUUUUGCUUAACUUCCAAUUGAGAAAAUGAAACGCCAAUGCCAAAUUUGAUCCGCCAAAAAUUUCCAUUAAAAAACAUAUCGUAUUGUUCCAUUAAUGAGUAUAACCCUUCAAUUCUUGGUGAUACAAAUGAGGUCAGACAAGUUUAUAAUCUCUCCUCAGAAGCAACAUAGCAUGAUAUAGAAAAAAAGUGGAGGAUACUCUCUGCAGCUAUAGCUAAGCGUUGUCCAAUGCAAGGUACAUUUAUUUCAAUUUGCCUUUAGAUAUGAUUUUGUGUUGAGUAAUUUGUAGUUUUCUUUUCUUUUCUUUGGUCAAAGUAAUUUGUAGUUUCUCGAUCAGGAAUUUGCAGAGAUGGAGUCCUCCGAAAUAGAGGCAUGACGGAAUGUCGCCGCUUACAUUAGGGAUGGAUUGCAAUCCCCCGUCGUGCAAAUCAGUGAGUCCUUAGGUUCCCUUAAUCCUAAGUUUAUAUAAUAAAAAUAGUUAAAAAAAAAAACUAUGUGUUUCAAAAAGAAAAAAAACUAUGUAUAAUGUUUCUUUGGGAGUGUCGUGAUCUUCAUUGAUUUUACAACACACAUGCUGAAUCCCUUUGGGGACUAAAUGUGGAUAACCCUUCCCUUCACAGCCAACGUUACGCUUAGCAAUAAUGUCAAGCAAUAAAAGUGUCCUUCAAUGGAGCUUUCUAUCUAUGUACUGACUUCGCUUGACUAUUCAGUAUAAAUAUGUACCUCUUGAGAGCGUAAGCUUAAUACUUUUCCCUUUCCGAUUACAAAGCUUUUGUUAUUUUCGAAACUAACCUUUUCAUUAUGGCAACUUGUCCAAUCCAUUUCACAGAUUUGAAGGAUGCAAGCUGUCUAGAAAAAGUGGUAGACAAACUCAUUCAAUUUUGGGAAGCCUGGAAUGUGAAGAAAAGAGGCUAACUGAUGGGCGUUGAUAUGGUUCUUAUUGAUUCAAAGGUGCAAGAUUCCUUCUUUUGAAUCAGCCUUUCAUUUAUCAAUUGGUGGACAUGACAUUGGCCUCACAAAAGUUUCCGUUGGCCUCACAAAACUAUCAUCCUCUUGAAGAAUUGAAGCCUGGCAAAAGAGUCCAGGAGACAAAACUCUCUCCUGCUGAAGUAGCUAGGACUGCGGUUGAGGUUUGUACCUGAGAAACAAUAUGAGACCACUACUGUCAGAGUUUCGUAUGAACUAGAAUAGUGUUUAGUUUUGCUAUGAGAUGCAUUAGCUGAAGAGGAAGGCGGCAGGACUAAGAAGACCACAAAGACUAGGUGGUCUACAUCAGACGUGAAAAAGUUUUAUCAUUCUCAUUGUUAUUUUGCAUUUGAGCUUUUUUAUGUUUUUAGUUUCAUGAAUAAGUACACGUUGAACAAUUUUCUGAACCGUAUUUGGGUUGUGUUGGUUUAGCGGAUUUUAUAGGAAUUUAGGAUAUAUCAGCAUUUGGACGAGUUCACGAGUUGA